Molecule: long non-coding RNA, 926 nt
Filed under: Oryctolagus cuniculus (rabbit)
Lineage: Eukaryota; Metazoa; Chordata; Mammalia; Lagomorpha; Leporidae
Description: lncRNA (ENSOCUG00000033028.1)
Source: RNAcentral
GAGAAGAGGCAAGUUCGGGCACGAUGAAGAAAAAUCAAGGCGUACCCCUUUUAACAAUAGGGAGCAGCUCGAGGCUGCAAAGAGAUUAUUGAUUAUUAAAAUGGCAUUGUCAGGAGAUGACUCCAAAAUAACAGAGCUGCCUCUGAGUUGAAGAAAAGUCUGAAGAUCGAGAGCUGAACAAAGAAGAGAAUGAAUGACACAAUGUGGUAAGUGACUUAUAACUAAACUAGUGUGGCCAUCUUCACUGUGUCAUUAUAGUUUACAAAUCGCAUACACAUAAAAUGCAUACACAUGGUACUAUCUGUUGGAAGCAGUUCAACUGAAUACAUUUGAAUUGAAAUGUACACAACUCUCUAAGUUCAUUUUGGUUAACGCUGGUGUAAAGGCACUCAGUAGUCACACAUUGUAAAUUAUUUUAUGCUGAUUUUUAAUUGGGGAGAAUUUAAGAUGACUUGCAUGAUUAAGAUACGCAUUGUGCUCCUGUAACCAUGGAGUUUGUUAGGCUGACACUUAGGUUGAUACUACUGGCUUAAAGAGUAAGCCAAGAGUGUACAGUCUCUUAAAAUUUGGUUGCUCCUUUGGGUUAAUCAAACUAUUCAAUAUAUACAUUCAAGAGUGUAUUACAUAUAUUUUGUGAAACGGGCUUUUUAAUAGUUUAUAAAAAAUUGAGUUUUACAUAUUGUGGGAAUUUCUAGUGCCUUAGAUUGUUUUUCUGGCUGUGUGUACUACAGGGACUAGUUAUUUAGGUAAGCCUCCUUUUCUCUUUGCUAUUCACAAGACCCUCUAUGGAGCCUCCAAGAGAAGGUGUGAUAGAGGAUUGAGUUAACAAGCAAAAAAUAAGGGCUGAGAAUUCCAGACUCAUCUCCAUUGUGUGAGUAGAGACAUGCUGGCUGUAUAACCUGCCCCUCUUCAGAUCCAUCAUACCC